Molecule: ribosomal RNA, 466 nt
Filed under: uncultured bacterium
Lineage: Bacteria
Description: partial 16S ribosomal RNA
Rfam family: Bacterial small subunit ribosomal RNA
Source: RNAcentral
GAUGAACGCUGGCGGCGUGCUUAACACAUGCAAGUCGAACGAUGAAGCCCAGCUUGCUGGGUGGAUUAGUGGCGAACGGGUGAGUAACACGUGAGUAACCUGCCCUUAACUCUGGGAUAAGCCUGGGAAACUGGGUCUAAUACCGGAUAGGAGCGCCUACCGCAUGGUGGGUGUUGGAAAGAUUUAUCGGUUUUGGAUGGACUCGCGGCCUAUCAGCUUGUUGGUGAGGUAAUGGCUCACCAAGGCGACGACGGGUAGCCGGCCUGAGAGGGUGACCGGCCACACUGGGACUGAGACACGGCCCAGACUCCUACGGGAGGCAGCAGUGGGAAAUAUUGCACAAUGGGCGAAAGCCUGAUGCAGCGACGCCGCGUGAGGGAUGACGGCCUUCGGGUUGUAAACCUCUUUCAGUAGGGAAGAAGCGAAAGUGACGGUACCUGCAGAAGAAGCACCGGCUAACUACGUG